UACGUAGGGAGCAAGCGUUGUCCGGAAUCAUUGGGCGUAAAGCGCGCGUAGGCGGCCUCAUAAGUCCGUUGUGAAAGUCAAAGGCUCAACCUUUGAAAGCCGAUGGAUACUGUGAGGCUAGAGUCCGGAAGAGGCGAGUGGAAUUCCUGGUGUAGCGGUGGAAUGCGCAGAUAUCAGGAGGAACACCAAUAGCGAAGGCAGCUCGCUGGAACGUUACUGACGCUGAGACGCGAAAGCGUGGGGAGCAAACAGG
RNAcentral lists this ribosomal RNA (253 nucleotides) under uncultured bacterium. RNAcentral describes it as "partial 16S ribosomal RNA". It matches the Rfam family "Bacterial small subunit ribosomal RNA", at positions 524 to 776 of the family's 1533-position model. The record is from RNAcentral.